Molecule: non-coding RNA, 46 nt
Organism: Rhodnius prolixus
Lineage: Eukaryota; Metazoa; Arthropoda; Insecta; Hemiptera; Reduviidae
Source: Rfam
CAAGCGGCCCUUUUCAGGGCCACUCACAUCACUUUUGCUGUGGCCU